Molecule: ribosomal RNA, 253 nt
Filed under: uncultured bacterium
Lineage: Bacteria
Description: partial 16S ribosomal RNA
Rfam family: Bacterial small subunit ribosomal RNA
Source: RNAcentral
UACGAAGGGGGCUAGCGUUGCUCGGAAUGACUGGGCGUAAAGGGCGCGUAGGCGGCAUGUACAGUCAGGCGUGAAAUUCCCGGGCUCAACCUGGGGACUGCGUUUGAUACGUGCAGGCUAGAGUGGGGAAGAGGGUCGUGGAAUUCCCGGUGUAGCGGUGAAAUGCGUAGAGAUCGGGAGGAACAUCAGUGGCGAAGGCGGCCAUCUGGGACAACACUGACGCUGAAGCACGAAAGCGUGGGGAGCAAACAGG